This 161-nucleotide ribosomal RNA is filed under the name Symbiodinium sp. ex Galaxea fascicularis. Its description in RNAcentral is "partial 18S ribosomal RNA". It matches the Rfam family "Eukaryotic small subunit ribosomal RNA", at positions 1665 to 1831 of the family's 1831-position model. Lineage: Eukaryota; Dinophyceae; Suessiales; Symbiodiniaceae. The record is from RNAcentral.
CUCUUUGUUUGUCCUUUCUUUUUUUUUCCCGGGGAAAUUUUUGGACUGACGCAGUGCUCAGCUUCUGGACGUUGCGUCGGAAAGUUUCAUGAACCUUAUCACUUAGAGGAAGGAGAAGUCGUAACAAGGUUUCCGUAGGUGAACCUGCGGAAGGAUCAUUC